GAGUUUGAUCGUGGCUCAGGACGAACGCUGGCGGCGUGCUUAACACAUGCAAGUCGAACGGUAAGGCUCCAGCUUGCUGGGGUACACGAGUGGCGAACGGGUGAGUAACACGUGGGUGACCUGCCCUGCACUUCGGGGAUAAGCCUGGGAAACUGGGUCUAAUACCGGAUAGGACCGCACCGUGAGGGUGUGGUGGAAAGUUUUUUCGGUGUGGGAUGGGCCCGCGGCCUAUCAGCUUGUUGGUGGGGUAAUGGCCUACCAAGGCGGCGACGGGUAGCCGGCCUGAGAGGGUGGACGGCCACAUUGGGACUGAGACACGGCCCAGACUCCUACGGGAGGCAGCAGUGGGGAAUAUUGCACAAUGGGCGGAAGCCUGAUGCAGCGACGCCGCGUGGGGGAUGACGGCCUCGGUUGUAACGUACCUUUCUACCACUCGACGAA
Molecule: ribosomal RNA, 441 nt
Filed under: uncultured microorganism
Description: bacterial SSU rRNA
Rfam family: Bacterial small subunit ribosomal RNA
Source: RNAcentral